This 226-nucleotide unclassified non-coding RNA is filed under the name plant metagenome. RNAcentral's name for it is "partial contains small subunit ribosomal RNA, internal transcribed spacer 1, and 5.8S ribosomal RNA". The record is from RNAcentral.
UUUCCGUUGGUGAACCAGCGGAAGGAUCAUUACAGAGUUCAUGCCCUUCGGGGUAGACCUCCCACCCUGUUUAUAUACUACUGUUGCUUUGGCAGGCUGCCCUCACCAUGGGGCGUCCGGGUUCCGCCCGCGUCUCGCCUGCCAAAAGCCCCCUAAUUCUGUGUUCUGUGUCGUCUGAGUACUAUAUAAUAAGUUAAAACUUUCAACAACGGAUCUCUUGGUUCUG